ACUGCUAGAGUCCGCCAACUCCGCCAUUUUGUGUUACAUCCGGUUGCGGCGUUUGGUGACGCUUUAUUUAAUAUUGUUGUUUCUGUAUUUAUAAUACUAUUGGUGAAACUGUUGAGUCGUUUUGAUUAAUUUCAUAUUCUUCUCUAAGUAAACUAAGUAAGAUCAAUGAUAUAAUACAUUUAAUGCGUAAUAUUUCAAAACUGCGAACUGCUUAAUGUGCAAUGUCUCGCUACGGUGAUUGUAAAGUUUAUGUUGGUGAUCUUGGAAACAAUGCAAGCAAACCUGAAUUAGAAGAUGCGUUUUCCUACUAUGGUCCUUUAAGAAACGUGUGGGUAGCUAGAAACCCGCCAGGAUUUGCUUUUGUCGAGUUUGAAGAUCCACGUGAUGCUGAAGAUGCAAUUCGGGGCUUGGAUGGACGGACGAUAUGCGGCCGGCGCGCUCGUGUAGAAAUGUCAAACGGAGGACGUGGUUAUGGAGGACGUGGACCACCUCCUCGUUCCAGGUUACCACCUCGUCCUUACGAUGACCGUUGUUAUGACUGUGGUGAUCGCGGCCACUAUGCCAGAGACUGCACUCGCCGUCGCCGCCGCAGGUUAUCAUUGGCCUGUGCGCCGAGAACGAACUCUUCAGUGUCUGCACUUCUUAUAGUCUGCGCUACGUAGCUUUCACUUCGCGCCGUGUACUCCACUAAUGUUGGCAGCAACUGUAACUUCGCUCUGUGAACUACGUAACUACAGCCUACGUGCACACUUCACUUAUUGAGAAAUACAUUGAGUGUAAUGUUCGUUCUGCGCAUCGCGACACACAUCUAUUGUAAUCACUGCGUGCACUCACCGGUCGAGGUCCCGUCGUCGCACACGUUCUCGUUCGCCGAGGUCUGGUUCCCGCUCACGAAGCCGUUCCCGUUCUAGAUCUCGCUCCAAAGGAAGGUCUAUCUCACGUUCGAGAUCACGUUCACCAUCAAAGGAUUCAAAGAAAUCAAACUAAAGCAAGAUAAUAGAAUUGCAAAUUCCAUUUCGUUUGUCAUUUUUAUUAGUAUAAAAAUAUCAUCUAUGGUGUUUUGUAAGAUUUGAGUAAAAAUCUGUCCACCAUGUUUGCAAGAUUAUUAUUAUCAUUCCUUUGUAAUUAUUACUGUAAGAUACAACAAGUAUUCAUCCGUAUUAACAUCAAUACACUGACAUGAAAAUAAAAUUGUUUUAUGCAACUUAA
RNA transcript from Nymphalis io (European peacock), 1209 nucleotides. It is a transcript of the gene named serine/arginine-rich splicing factor 3-like, with no coding region annotated. Lineage: Eukaryota; Metazoa; Arthropoda; Insecta; Lepidoptera; Nymphalidae. The transcript has 5 exons. The record is from RefSeq and is a predicted model, not a curated record.